RNAcentral lists this transfer RNA (91 nucleotides) under Clostridium sp. Its description in RNAcentral is "tRNA-Ser". It matches the Rfam family "tRNA". From Rfam's summary of the family: Transfer RNA (tRNA) molecules are approximately 80 nucleotides in length. Their secondary structure includes four short double-helical elements and three loops (D, anti-codon, and T loops). The record is from RNAcentral. RNAcentral also lists the same sequence under 1 other name. Lineage: Bacteria; Bacillati; Bacillota; Clostridia; Eubacteriales; Clostridiaceae.
GGAGACGUAUCGAAGUGGUCAUAACGAGCCUGACUCGAAAUCAGGUUGUCGGGUAACCGGCACGUGAGUUCGAAUCUCACCGUCUCCGCCA